GGGUGGUUUUGGGACAUUUUUGGGGUGUUUUCGGGGUGAUUUCGGGGUGUUUUUGGGAUAUUUUUGGGGUAGUUUCGGGGUUAUUUUUGGGGUGUUUUUGGGGUUAUCUUGGGAUGUUUUUGGGAUAUUUUUGGGGUGUUUUUGGGACAUUUUUGGGGUGAUUUCGGGGUGCUGAUCCCCUCUCCUCAGCCUCUGAACGGGUCCAGGGGGGGUUUGGGGCUGAUUUUGGGGGGAUUUUUGGGGUUAUUUUUGGGGUUAUCUUGAGGUGUUUUUGGGAUAUUUUUGGGGUGGUUUUGGGACAUUUUUUGGGGUGAUUUUGGGGUGAUUUUUGGGGUGAUUUCGGGGUGUUUUCGGGGUGAUUUCGGGGUGCUGAUCCCCUCUCCCCAGCCUCUGAACGGGUCGCUGACGCUGGAGUUGGUGAACGAGAAGUUCUGGAAGCUCAGCAAACCCCUGGAGCUCUUCUACGCCCCCAGCAAGGAGCAGAAAUAGCCAAAAACGCCCCAAAAUCCUCCCGGGGACCCCCAAAUCCACCUGGGGACCCCCAAAUCCACCCGGGGACCCCAAAAUCCACCUGGGGACACCAAAAUCCACCUGGGGACCCCGAAAUCCUCCCAGGGACCCCAAAAUUCAUCUGGGGGAUCCCCAAAAACCCCAAAAUUCAUUUGGGGAUCCCCAAAUUCCCCCCCAGGGAUCCCCAAAAACCCCAAAAUUC
This 712-nucleotide long non-coding RNA is filed under the name Chloebia gouldiae (Gouldian finch). RNAcentral's name for it is "Erythrura gouldiae (Gouldian finch) lncRNA (ENSEGOG00005018698.1)". Lineage: Eukaryota; Metazoa; Chordata; Aves; Passeriformes; Passeridae. The record is from RNAcentral.